GAGGGUAUAGCUCAAGUGGUAGAGCAUAUGCUUAGCAUGCAUGAGGUCCUGGGUUCAAUCCCCAGCGCCUCCU
This 73-nucleotide transfer RNA is filed under the name Camelus bactrianus (Bactrian camel). It matches the Rfam family "tRNA". Rfam says of the family: Transfer RNA (tRNA) molecules are approximately 80 nucleotides in length. Their secondary structure includes four short double-helical elements and three loops (D, anti-codon, and T loops). RNAcentral also lists the same sequence under 1 other name. The record is from Rfam by way of RNAcentral. Lineage: Eukaryota; Metazoa; Chordata; Mammalia; Artiodactyla; Camelidae.